GACGAACGCUGGCGGCGUGCUUAACACAUGCAAGUCGAGCGGUAAGGCCCUUUCGGGGGUACACGAGCGGCGAACGGGUGAGUAACACGUGGGUGACCUGCCCUCAGCUCUGGGAUAAGCCUGGGAAACCGGGUCUAAUACUGGAUAUGACUCCAUGACGCAUGUUGUGGGGUGGAAAGCCUUGUGCGGCUGAGGAUGGGCCCGCGGCCUAUCAGCUUGUUGGUGGGGUGANGGCCUACCAAGGCGACGACGGGUAGCCGGCCUGAGAGGGCGACCGGCCACACUGGGACUGAGACACGGCCCAGACUCCUACGGGAGGCAGCAGU
RNAcentral lists this ribosomal RNA (326 nucleotides) under uncultured bacterium. RNAcentral describes it as "bacterial SSU rRNA". It matches the Rfam family "Bacterial small subunit ribosomal RNA", at positions 28 to 355 of the family's 1533-position model. The record is from RNAcentral.